This 253-nucleotide ribosomal RNA is filed under the name uncultured bacterium. RNAcentral's name for it is "partial 16S ribosomal RNA". It matches the Rfam family "Bacterial small subunit ribosomal RNA", at positions 524 to 776 of the family's 1533-position model. The record is from RNAcentral.
UACGUAGGUGGCAAGCGUUGUCCGGAUUUACUGGGCGUAAAGAGCGCGCAGGCGGUCGUUCAAGUCGCGUGUGAAAGCCCCCGGCUCAACUGGGGAGGGUCACGCGAUACUGAUCGACUCGAAGGCAGGAGAGGGUAGUGGAAUUCCCGGUGUAGUGGUGAAAUGCGUAGAUAUCGGGAGGAACACCAGUGGCGAAAGCGGCUUCCUGGACCAGCACCGACGUUCAGGCACGAAAGCGUGGGGAGCAAACAGG